GACGUAGGGCGCGAGCGUUGUCCGGAAUUAUUGGGCGUAAAGGGCGCGUAGGCGGCUGUACAAGUCAAAGGUGAAAUCCCUCGGCUCAACUGAGGAACUGCCUUUGAAACUGUACGGCUUGAGGCCGGGAGGGGGUAGCGGAAUUCCCAGUGUAGCGGUGAAAUGCGUAGAUACUGGGAGGAACACCAGUGGCGAAGGCGGCUACCUGGACCGGUUCUGACGCUGAGGCGCGAAAGCGUGGGUAGCAAACAGG
RNAcentral lists this ribosomal RNA (253 nucleotides) under uncultured bacterium. RNAcentral's name for it is "partial 16S ribosomal RNA". It matches the Rfam family "Bacterial small subunit ribosomal RNA", at positions 524 to 776 of the family's 1533-position model. The record is from RNAcentral.